Molecule: ribosomal RNA, 600 nt
Filed under: uncultured alpha proteobacterium kpj411f
Lineage: Bacteria; Pseudomonadati; Pseudomonadota; Alphaproteobacteria
Description: bacterial SSU rRNA
Rfam family: Bacterial small subunit ribosomal RNA
Source: RNAcentral
UGCCAGCCGCGCGGUAAUACGAAGGGACCUAGCGUAGUUCGGAAUUACUGGGCUUAAAGAGUUCGUAGGUGGUUGAAAAAGUUAGUGGUGAAAUCCCAGAGCUUAACUCUGGAACUGCCAUUAAAACUUUUCAGCUAGGGUAUGAUAGAGGAAAGCAGAAUUUCUAGUGUAGAGAUGAAAUUCGUAGAUAUUAGAAAGAAUACCAAUUGCGAAGGCAGCUUUCUGGAUCAUUACUGACACUGAGGAACGAAAGCAUGGGUAGCGAAGAGGAUUAGAUACCCUCGUAGUCCAUGCCGUAAACGAUGUGUGUUAGACGUUGGAAAUUUAUUUUCAGUGUCGCAGCGAAAGCGAUAAACACACCGCCUGGGGAGUACGACCACAAGGUUAAAACUCAAAUGAAUUGACGGGGACCCGCACAAGUAGUGGAGCAUGUGGUUUAAUUCGAAGAUACGCGCAGAACCUUACCAACACUUGACAUGUUCGUCGCGACUCUAAGAGAUUAGAGUUUUCGGUUCGGCCGGACGAAACACAGGUGCUGCAUGGUUGUCGUCAGCUCGUGUCGUGAGAUGUUGGGUUAAGUCCCGCAACGAGCGCAACCCU